Molecule: ribosomal RNA, 433 nt
Filed under: uncultured bacterium
Lineage: Bacteria
Description: partial 16S ribosomal RNA
Rfam family: Bacterial small subunit ribosomal RNA
Source: RNAcentral
AACGAACGCUGGCGGCAUGCCUAACACAUGCAAGUCGAACGAGACCUUCGGGUCUAGUGUCGCACGGGUGCGUAACGCGUGGGAACCUGCCCUUAGGUUCGGAAUAACUCCCCGAAAGGGGUGCUAAUACCGGAUAAUGUCUUCGGACCAAAGAUUUAUCGCCUUUGGAUGGGCCCGCGUUGGAUUAGCUAGUUGGUAGGGUAAAAGCCUACCACGGCGACGAUCCAUAGCUGGUCUGAGAGGAUGAUCAGCCACACUGGGACUGAGACACGGCCCAGACUCCUACGGGAGGCAGCAGUGGGGAAUAUUGGACAAUGGGCGAAAGCCUGAUCCAGCAAUGCCGCGUGAGUGAUGAAGGCCUUAGGGUUGUAAAGCUCUAUUACCCGGGAUGAUAAUGACAGUACCGGGAGAAUAAGCUCCGGCUAACUCCGUG